GGGAACUUUCUGGUGAAUUUUGCAGGUUUAAUGUAGGGAUUCAAGACUGGUACAUCUAUGCAAUGUCAAAUACUAUGUUUGUCGGGUUUGUGAAGUUGUUCUGAAGUCAGAGUCCCUAUAUGGGAUGCACACCAGGUUUCUUGUAAGCAUCGCGAGGAGAUCUAGUCACUGACAAUGGUUUCUUUUGUAUUAUUUGAUUGAUGUCCGCUAAAGAAAAGACUUGGACCAGAUUCCUCAAACAAGAUGGUUGCACAAAUGACAUCAAUUCAGGAGCAAGCAAAGACAUCAAAGGAUGAGACUCAAGGAGAUGUGAGAAAUUAUAGGUUCAUUUUGAGAUUUGAAGUGUUACUUGCAUUUUUUGCUAUGCCUACACCUUAUUUGAUAGUGAUCUUUUGUGUUUGUAAAUUAUUAUUUCAGUGAUAAAAUUUUUAUAUUUUUCAGAUUUUUGUUUAAAGUUAU
Trifolium pratense (red clover) is the source of this 459-nucleotide long non-coding RNA. RefSeq lists it as uncharacterized. Lineage: Eukaryota; Viridiplantae; Streptophyta; Magnoliopsida; Fabales; Fabaceae. The record is from RefSeq and is a predicted model, not a curated record. The transcript is spliced from 3 exons.